This is a long non-coding RNA of Corylus avellana, 1822 nucleotides long. RefSeq lists it as uncharacterized. NCBI's taxonomy places the organism in Eukaryota, Viridiplantae, Streptophyta, Magnoliopsida, Fagales, Betulaceae. The record is from RefSeq and is a predicted model, not a curated record.
AAUUGACUUGUUUUUUGUUAUUUCUUUCUACAUUGAUUGGUAAUUGUGAUGCGUAUUUUAUCUAUUGUAUACAUAAUUAAUUGGGUGCGUGAUGUGUUUCACAAGUUGAUAUGAGUACCAAGGGGAAGAGUAAACGACAGAGGUCCCCAUAGGUAGACGACCGGGGGUAUAAACCAGUACUUCCAAAGCAUGUGGAAGGGCAGAACCAGAUGGGGUAUCAGUCUCAGCCGUCUCCAUAUGACACGGAUGGAGAGUAUCAUACGCCUAGUCCACUGCCUACGAUGAGCGAGUUAGGGAUAUGUUCACAUGGCCAUGUAGAGCGGGUAAUCCUCCUCGACGAGAACACAGGUUUGAACUACAAUGAGCCAUCGCAACUAGAGGACAACGAGACACAGGCACAGGCGGACGAGGAUGAUGGGACAGGUGCCAUGCAUGACUCAUAGCCUGAUGACCCUACUCUACAAGUGUUGGGCAGUCGCCAGGUCCAGACAAUAAGCAUCGGUUGAGAUAGGCGUACUCAUAUUUAAGUAGUGACCAUUAAACCAUCGAACAAAACGUGAAAUGUCCCCAGCGGGUAAAAGGUCGUGUGCGAGUACAAUAGAGUGUGACAGCCCGUAGGAUUUAGUGGGUUAAAAUUCCGAAUGACGACCUGCAACAUCAUAAGGAGAGGGAAUUAUGUUAGAUUAUGGGAUGACUGGAUGGAGGUACCACCCUGUAAGAAGGAGGAUAUAUGGGAAGCCUUGAUGACGGACUUCUACAUCCCGCCUAAGUACAAUCUUGAUGCGAUAAAAAAGGACGCAUUUCGAGAUAUGGGCGUGAAGCUGAAGAGUUGAAGACACUCAGUGAAAGAAGCGAUGAAAAUUCAGUUGGGCAAUACUUCUGACACCGUGAAUGCGAGAAUGAGUCAAGAUGCCGUUAGGAAAUACGACGCCUACGACUUGGAUGUGUUGUUGGAUAAAUGGUGCGACCCGAAGAAUCAGGAGUAUGCUGCUUAUAUAAAGGCAUUGUGAGCAAAAAACAACACAUCUCAUUGUAUCGAGUCGAUGAGCUUUGCUAGGGUGACACAUGAAGAGACCUUAUCUGUGGGCACCUUUGCUACUCGAGCGCAAAUUUACAUCUCGACACACACAAAGAAGGAUGGUGACUAUCCAAAUGAUAUGGUUAGGGAGAGAUGUAUAAGAGAGGAUGAAGGAAUUGAUACCCACUGGCCCUGCAUUGAUCUCAAGCGUGACUGAAAGGACGGUACGGUGGACACCAAAUGUCGCGUAUGCUCAGGCGCACGAAAAUAAGCUUGAGUACGCUAGCAGGGUCUGACAAGUGGGUCCGAAUGUUCUACCGGUGCAGGGCAGCAUACACUCGUACUAUACACCGUUCCAGGCACGAUCGCAGAACCUUGGGAACUCCUCGUUCUCACAGAUGACGAAUAUGAUUAGAGAACUUGAAGAAGAGGCACAACAAAGAGUUGCGAUGGAUCAGAUGGCCAAAUAGAUUGAAGAACAAAAAGCUCAGAUGACAGAAAAAGAUGCGAUGAUUGAGGCCCGUUUCUACCAGCUUGAGGCCAUGCUCUCGUCGACCUCUGGAUCCGUGACCGACAGAGGUAAUGCAGAUAAGGUGUUGGGAAAUGAUUAUGUUGACUUAGACUAAGCACGUGGUUUCUCAUUGUUGUUUGUUAAGUUGUAUAUAUAUUUUGUUACUAUUUGUUGAUGUAUAUAGUUAGAUCAAACUAUAUGUUUGUUGAGACUAGUUGGAACUUAUAUGUGUUGUAUAUUUGUCUUUAAUUGUAUAUUUGUAGCAGAUAGAACAAAUAUAGUUUGAUUGUAUA